GAUGAACGCUGGCGGCGUGCCUAAUACAUGCAAGUCGAGCGAACAGAUAAGGAGCUUGCUCCUUUGACGUUAGCGGCGGACGGGUGAGUAACACGUGGGUAACCUACCUAUAAGACUGGAAUAACUCCGGGAAACCGGGGCUAAUGCCGGAUAACAUUUAGAACCGCAUGGUUCUAAAGUGAAAGAUGGUUUUGCUAUCACUUAUAGAUGGACCCGCGCUGUAUUAGCUAGUUGGUAAGGUAACGGCUUACCAAGGCAACGAUACGUAGCCGACCUGAGAGGGUGAUCGGCCACACUGGAACUGAGACACGGUCCAGACUCCUACGGGAGGCAGCAGUAGGGAAUCUUCCGCAAUGGGCGAAAGCCUGACGGAGCAACGCCGCGUGAGUGAUGAAGGUCUUCGGAUCGUAAAACUCUGUUAUUAGGGAAGAACAAAUGUGUAAGUAACUGUGCACGUCUUGACGGUACCUAAUCAGAAAGCCACGGCUAACUACGUG
RNAcentral lists this ribosomal RNA (497 nucleotides) under uncultured bacterium. RNAcentral describes it as "partial 16S ribosomal RNA". It matches the Rfam family "Bacterial small subunit ribosomal RNA", at positions 28 to 507 of the family's 1533-position model. The record is from RNAcentral.